CAAAUCAGGAUGAUAUUGGUGGAUGGUUGGGGGUGGGAUAUAUUUGAAAGAAUGUGUUUCAUCAUCUGAUCCACAUCAAUUCAUACAUUAGCACGAGUGUGAUGGGUGGAUUGCAAUGCAGUCUUUCAUCACAUCUCAUGUUUACGCUUGUUUGUUUGACAGAGUUUAAUUGACUUUAAUAAAUA
Molecule: unclassified non-coding RNA, 185 nt
Filed under: uncultured Rozellomycota
Lineage: Eukaryota; Fungi; Rozellomycota
Description: uncultured Cryptomycota sequence contains ITS1
Source: RNAcentral